Molecule: ribosomal RNA, 216 nt
Filed under: Glomeromycotina sp.
Lineage: Eukaryota; Fungi; Glomeromycota
Description: partial small subunit ribosomal RNA
Rfam family: Eukaryotic small subunit ribosomal RNA (bases 40-216)
Source: RNAcentral
GGGUCAGUAGGUUGGUCGUGCCACCGGUACGUACUGGUCUCACUGAUUCCUCCUUCCUGAAGAACCGUAGUGCCAUUAAUUUGGUGUUGCGGGGAAACAGGACUGUUACUUUGAAAAAAUUAGAGUGUUUAAAGCAAGCUAACGCUUGAAUACAUUAGCAUGGGAUAAUGAAAUAGGACGAUCGAUCCUAUUUUGUUGGUUUCUAGGAUUGACGUA